UAUCUUUUUAAAGGGCGUUAAAGCUUUUUCUUUUUUAAGUAUUGUAGAAGAUUUUAGGUAAAGGUCCAAAGUUGUAGAGAAGUAUCAGGGAUUUUUAUUGGUUAUUGGAAGUUUUAAUGCUAAAAUUAGUAAAGAGGACGUUAUAUUUUUUGAGUAUUAAGCAAGCUUAACUUUGGAUAGAAUAAAGUUUUUAGUACAGGAAUUAGCUUUUAUUAAGUUGUCUUCCAACUCAGGAAAUAAGGGUGUUGUGAACUAAGGGAAAGGAACUCGGCAAAUUUAAACUUNNNNNNNNNNNNNNNNNNNNCGCUCUUCGCUAAAGGUUCUAGUGUAUGAGGAGUCCUGCCUGCCCGGUGACUAUUAUGGUUAAACGGCCGCGGUAUUUUGACCGUGCAAAGGUAGCAUAAUCAUUUGCCUCUUAAAUAGAGGCUGGUAUGAAUGGCAAGACGGGGGUUUGACUGUCUCUCUUUUAGGUAGUUUGAAUUUAAUUUCUUUGUGAAGAAGCAGAGAUAAGAUCGUAGGACGAGAAGACCCUGUCGAGCUUGAGUAGAAAGGAGUAAGUAUUGUAAGUAUUCUUUUACUAAUUUGUUCUCGUAGAGACAGAAAGAGUUUAUGAAAGAUGUAAGUGUACUAUAUUGUUUCUUAUUUUGAUUGGGGCAAUCACGGAGAAUAUUUAACCUCCGUUGUAAAUUUUAAUACUUUAAAGUGACUUCUUUUGUAGUAUAAAAAUGUGUAUUUGUGAUCCACUAGGAAGUGAAUAAAGGAAUAAGUUACCGCAGGGAUAACAGCGUAAUUUUUUUGGAGAGUUCAUAUUGAUAAGAAAGUUUGCGACCUCGAUGUUGGAUCGGGAUUUCCAGGAGAUGCAGCAGUUUCCAAGGGUUGGUCUGUUCGACCAUUAAAAUCCU
This 902-nucleotide ribosomal RNA is filed under the name Plinthaster dentatus. RNAcentral describes it as "partial 16S ribosomal RNA". It matches the Rfam family "Bacterial large subunit ribosomal RNA", at positions 1117 to 2597 of the family's 2925-position model. Lineage: Eukaryota; Metazoa; Echinodermata; Asteroidea; Valvatida; Goniasteridae. The record is from RNAcentral.